ACAACACCUUUACACGGGGUUCUGCAUUACUACUGGUACCUGCUGAGUUGGGUCUCGCGGGAAUGGAUGUGUACUCGGCCCGGGUGGGCGGUGUUUUACAGAACCUGUACACGGGGUUCUGUAUUAGUAUAUCGGGGUUCUGUAUUACUAUACUGGUUGGAUGAGGGUAUGAACUGUACUCCGUAUCGACUGUACACGGGGUUCUCCAUUUUAGUCACGGGGUUCUCCAUUUUAGUCACGGGGUUCUCCAUUUUAGUCACGGGGUUCUCCAUUUUAGUCACGGGGUUCUGCAUAACCCGUACAUGGUUACAGAACCUGUACACGGGGUUCUACUGUACACGGGUACAUAACCUGUACACGGUUACAGAACCUGUACACGGGGUUCUGCAUUGGGGGUUCUCCAUUUUAGUAUGGGCAUUAGUAUACUGGUUACCUCGGGAUGGAACUGUACUCGGUAUCGGUAUCAUAUAUAUAUAUAUAUAU
RNAcentral lists this unclassified non-coding RNA (483 nucleotides) under Ancora sagittata. RNAcentral describes it as "partial external transcribed spacer". Lineage: Eukaryota; Apicomplexa; Conoidasida; Eugregarinorida; Lecudinidae. The record is from RNAcentral.